AUAGCGUAUAUUAAAGUUGUUGCAGUUAAAAAGCUCGUAGUCGAACUUUGGGCCUGGACGGGCGGUCUGCCGCAAGGCAUUGUACUGUCUGGCCGGGCCUUUCCUCUUGGUGAAUCGGCGUGCCCUUCGCUGGGUGCGUCGGGGAACCAGGACGUUUACCUUGAGAAAAUUAGAGUGUUCAAAGCAGGCGUUUCGCCCGAAUACAUUAGCAUGGAAUAAUGAAAUAGGACGUGCGGUUCUAUUUUGUUGGUUUCUAGAGUCGCCGUAAUGAUUAAUGGGGACAGUUGGGGGCAUUAGUAUUCAGUCGCUAGAGGUGAAAUUCUUGGAUUGACUGAAGACUAACUACUG
Molecule: ribosomal RNA, 348 nt
Filed under: uncultured eukaryote
Lineage: Eukaryota
Description: SSU rRNA
Rfam family: Eukaryotic small subunit ribosomal RNA
Source: RNAcentral